GUUUGAACAGUUCUAUUCUACUUUAUUCUUUCAGCUUUGAUAGAUCAGUCACCCUCCAUCAGGAACAGGUGGAUUGAGUCCAAUCUUUUACUGGUCCCAGGUGAACUUGAUAAACAUAUGGUCCAUUGUGAAGGGAUCUUGUUUUGCGAUAUCUGAUUGUGUUUGUAAUGGCUUCUUCACCUAGCUGUUUGCCUGUUCCAGUGGCCAUUACAAAGAAUUAUGCUGAGUGUCAUUUUUGGUUUUUGGAGUUGACAGAAGCCAUGGCUCAAAAUUUCAAGCUCCUGUGGCAAUGCAGAAUUACUGAAUGGCAGAUUAUAGAAUGCAUGUGAGUGCUUGGUCCCAGCCUUUGGGACAUGUGGAAUUCAAUGGGGUAGGCGUAAG
Molecule: long non-coding RNA, 381 nt
Organism: Panicum virgatum (switchgrass)
Lineage: Eukaryota; Viridiplantae; Streptophyta; Magnoliopsida; Poales; Poaceae
Exons: 4
Source: RefSeq, a predicted model, not a curated record